This 293-nucleotide ribosomal RNA is filed under the name uncultured bacterium. Its description in RNAcentral is "partial 16S ribosomal RNA". It matches the Rfam family "Archaeal small subunit ribosomal RNA", at positions 455 to 747 of the family's 1478-position model. The record is from RNAcentral.
GUGUCAGCCGCCGCGGUAAUACCGGCAGCUCAAGUGAUGUCCCAUAUUAUUGGGCCUAAAGCGUCCGUAGCUGGCCGACCAAGUCUCCCGGGAAAUCCACCCGCCCAACGGGUGGGCGUCCGGUAGAAACUGGCCGGCUUGGAACCGGAAGGCUCAGAGAGUACGUCCGGGGUAGGAGUGAAAUCCCGUAAUCCCGGACGGACUACCGAUGGCGAAAGCACUCUGAGAAGACGGCUUCGACAGUGAGGGACGAAAGCUCGGGUCUCAAACCGGAUUAGAUACCCGAGUAGUCC